Molecule: long non-coding RNA, 623 nt
Filed under: Coturnix japonica (Japanese quail)
Lineage: Eukaryota; Metazoa; Chordata; Aves; Galliformes; Phasianidae
Description: lncRNA (ENSCJPG00005013074.1)
Source: RNAcentral
AGGGCGUUAUCUUCAGGCAAGUAACUACUGAGAUGAAGGAGAGCUGUUUUCCAAUAUUAAUACAACUGCGUAUUUGCAACUUUGGCUCUGACUAUGCUUAAAGCUUGGAAGAUAUCAACAUAUUGUUCCAAAACAGUCUCCAAUUAAUUCACUGGAGAGAAAAUAACUAAAACAAGGAUAUCCACUCUCUGUUCUGGGCGUAUAGGUAGUCUGCAGGCUGAUGAGUCCAUCUCAGACCUGAAGGAAUACUCACAUUCCCUUAAACUUGCUGAUCUUUUUUUUUCAGUUAACUUGCUUGUUCCAGUUAAAAUGUGCUACCUCUACCCGUAGUUUAUAGUCAAGAACUCCACUGCUUUACCCACAUGAUUCAGAGACCUUUAUCCUUAUCCUCAGGUCUUCUACUCCCAUCUGUGCCCAUAAAGCAAACUGGACUGCUGCUUGGGUGGGAGACCUACAGAGCAUUAUGGUUGCUAUCGGCGGUGGAACUAAAGGUGGCAUUUUUAUUCCUUGAAUCAACAGUCAGCCAACACCCUCACCUGGUAUUCAAGGUUGCGAAAAUCUGGCGGUACAACCAAAUGAUCUGAUAAGAAACCAGCCAGCAAUAAAAGUCUCUCCUGAAGACA